Molecule: ribosomal RNA, 540 nt
Filed under: Bacillus sp. (in: firmicutes)
Lineage: Bacteria; Bacillati; Bacillota; Bacilli; Caryophanales; Bacillaceae
Description: bacterial SSU rRNA
Rfam family: Bacterial small subunit ribosomal RNA
Source: RNAcentral
UGCAAGUCGAGCGGACUUAAAAAGCUUGCUUUUUAAGUUAGCGGCGGACGGGUGAGUAACACGUGGGCAACCUGCCUGUAAGACUGGGAUAACUUCGGGAAACCGGAGCUAAUACCGGAUAAUCCUUUUCUACUCAUGUAGAAAAGCUGAAAGACGGUUUACGCUGUCACUUACAGAUGGGCCCGCGGCGCAUUAGCUAGUUGGUGAGGUAACGGCUCACCAAGGCGACGAUGCGUAGCCGACCUGAGAGGGUGAUCGGCCACACUGGGACUGAGACACGGCCCAGACUCCUACGGGAGGCAGCAGUAGGGAAUCUUCCGCAAUGGACGAAAGUCUGACGGAGCAACGCCGCGUGAGUGAUGAAGGUUUUCGGAUCGUAAAACUCUGUUGUUAGGGAAGAACAAGUACGAGAGUAACUGCUCGUACCUUGACGGUACCUAACCAGAAAGCCACGGCUAACUACGUGCCAGCAGCCGCGGUAAUACGUAGGUGGCAAGCGUUGUCCGGAAUUAUUGGGCGUAAAGCGCGCGCAGGCGGUCC